UAAAUUUUUUCCGUUUGUUUUAAUUGCUUUUUGUUAUGUAGUUUAUUUCUUUAGUCUUCUUUUUCUGUCAAGAUUUUAACCCCAACCUUAAAAAUGAAAUAAACCCUUAAAUCACAAUGAAAAUAUUUCUGUUGUCACAAUCAUGAGUUAGUCAAUUAUUCAGUUUAUCAAUUCAACUUUAUUUGUUUAGCACCUUUUACACAAAUGACAAAACUAAACAAGCAAAGAAAAAAAAACAAUGCUAAAACUAUGAUUAAAACUCAAAAACAUAAAAAAAAAAAAAAAAAAAGAUUUAACAUGGUAAUAAAAUAUGUUGUGUCCAGGGGAUGGAGGGAGUUUAUUGAAGUCUUCUUGGGCUCACAUGGGAAAUCAUUUAAAAUAUAAACUUGAUAUUCAGUCUAAGGAAACUGCAGAGCGACAGAAGAACCAACAAUAUCUCCCGUUUUCUCCUUUAAUGAGUCGACUCUUCUUGUGCUUCCAGACCAAAGAACUACAGACUCUUCACAACCUGCUCAAACUCUUGGUACAGGACCUCACCACACGGGUCAAGAAGGUUGCUUUGUAGAACUGUUGCAGAAAACCUCACUAAACCACAUGGAGGGGCCUCAAGAUAGUCGUCCAAAUGAAACCAUACAAAAACCAAACUAACACAACCCAAACGCUAAAGUCUCCUGCAGUCUACCAGAGAACCUCUGAGAACAGAGAAUCAGGACAGGAACUCUUACCUUCUGGACAACCAACGUUGGUUCACAAACAAGAAUACAGAAUGUGUCUGACCAAAAACCUCUAAAGACUCACUACAGCCAAGAUAAAGACACAACUCAGCUGCAUCAAAUCCACUAAUCACUGCACACAUUAGCACCAUGUGCUAACUGUGGCUAAAGAACCUCAUUUACCAAGACAACUAUCCAGUACAAAGCCCUAAAACACACCAAGAAACACAUUAAAGACGAUUUUACUGCUGGAAGCUGCAAGCCAGUGCCUUAAGAACAAAUUAAAGCAACUGAGCCAAACCCGGAUCUGUGGUGAAGAGAAGCAGAGGAAAUGUUUGUCUGCAGCUAAAUAAAGCAGGAAGACACUGAGCUGCUCAGGUGUUCCUGAUAACACCAAGCAGCCACCUGGACAGCCAAUAGGAACACAGCCACCUGGACAGCCAAUAGGAACACAGCUGGAAGUCCAGAGGGCUGGGUUAGUGAAGGAAAUUUAAAGUUGAAGCAGAAAGUUAACAAAGAAAGUUGAAAACCACCUUCUGAUACCUGAAAUCUCUGAGUUUUCACACAAAGAACACCUGAACAUGUCAAACUGGUUCCAUAGUAGAACCAUCAUUGUAAAAACGUCAUAGUAUGGUGUGUUGCUCAAAAAACAUUAGAACCCGGCUGUCAGGGACAAACAUGUAAGAAACAUGAGAACAGAGAGAAUCCAACCAGUAGGUCACAGUUUAUCAUCCCCCAGUCAUCUCCUGAAGUCCAUAUGGUGAGAGACAUCAGUAUCUGGUUGUUAAUUUACCAGAGGAUGCUUAUAAUCAUGCUGAUGUGGUCUGUACUCUACAGUAUUUUAGUGACUCAAUAAAUGCC
This is a long non-coding RNA of Amphiprion ocellaris (clown anemonefish), 1574 nucleotides long. NCBI's taxonomy places the organism in Eukaryota, Metazoa, Chordata, Actinopteri, Pomacentridae. The record is from Ensembl.